Molecule: non-coding RNA, 23 nt
Filed under: Cricetulus griseus (Chinese hamster)
Lineage: Eukaryota; Metazoa; Chordata; Mammalia; Rodentia; Cricetidae
Source: RNAcentral
UAUACUCUGAGAAAGCAAAAUUU